Molecule: long non-coding RNA, 855 nt
Filed under: Fragaria vesca (wild strawberry)
Lineage: Eukaryota; Viridiplantae; Streptophyta; Magnoliopsida; Rosales; Rosaceae
Description: long non-coding RNA (FVES_LNC003303)
Source: RNAcentral
CAAGUGUAUAAUUAGCAGCAACGAAUACUCCUUCAGUUUCUUCCUUCACAAAAACAGUAACCAAACAACAUCUAAGUCGUCAUCGAAACUCAGAAACUAGCAACUAAGCAGAAUACUAACUUUCAGAAAUCAAAAAUCAACUCACCUAUCAAUCAAAAGGGUUCAUGGCAGAAUUGAGGCUCAACUUAACUCCUCAGCUAAGAACACCACAGCUGCUAGCCCUCUCCUUUCGAUAUAGUCCUUAACCCGAGACACAGUAGCCAAAACAAGGGAAAUCCUUACCCUUGUCAACCAACACAGUAGCUUCGCUUCGCUGCUCCAACUCCUAAUCCGUCAUGGCGUCGACUUGUAGCAGAAAACAACCGAUUAAUACCACCUAUAGCCCAGUAACAACAACAAGCAACCCAAAAACACAACCCUUACUUUAAUUAACUCCCUCCAAGGCCAGCUUAGUAGUUUUCUUCCUUUCCAUAAUCAAAUCUAGUGCUUAAUAUCACCCUCCACAGCAAGCUCGUCUUCCAAUAGAACGUCUCUUUUUCUGUGAAUCCAUCAAGUCAUUGCUAUUUCAAUCUCAGCUUUGUCGUUUCUCCAUCCAAAAAUGCAAACUCCAUAGACCUCACACAACCAAAAGUCAAAAUAACCUACUUCAGAUCAGUCGGCAGAGUUAGGAGCGUGCGACAAGAACACAGAUGCUUGACGCCAACUAGACUCGACGCUUGUCGUUGAUAUGGGUCGGGGUCGGGUCAAACUUUGUUGCUGGUUUGGUGGGUGGCUUGGUCGGGUCAACAAGCAUACUAGGCCGCGGCGAAUACUUAUACAUGUCUUUCUUUUCUUUUUUUCUUUUUUUCUCAUUCU